Non-coding RNA from Desmophyllum pertusum, 82 nucleotides. Lineage: Eukaryota; Metazoa; Cnidaria; Anthozoa; Scleractinia; Caryophylliidae. The record is from the annotation of a GenBank genome assembly.
GGCAGUGUGGCCGAGUGGUUUAAGACGCUGGAUUUGUAAUCUGGAGAUCCCUGGUUUAAAUAAUCUAUCCUGCCACUAGCUG